This 73-nucleotide transfer RNA is filed under the name Octopus vulgaris (common octopus). It matches the Rfam family "tRNA". From Rfam's summary of the family: Transfer RNA (tRNA) molecules are approximately 80 nucleotides in length. Their secondary structure includes four short double-helical elements and three loops (D, anti-codon, and T loops). RNAcentral also lists the same sequence under 1 other name. The record is from Rfam by way of RNAcentral. Lineage: Eukaryota; Metazoa; Mollusca; Cephalopoda; Octopoda; Octopodidae.
GCCCGCAUAGCUCAGUUGGUAGAGCAUCAGACUUUUAAUCUGAGGGUUGUGGGUUCGAGUCCCCCUGUGGGCG